RNAcentral lists this unclassified non-coding RNA (238 nucleotides) under Exophiala jeanselmei. RNAcentral's name for it is "sequence contains ITS1". Lineage: Eukaryota; Fungi; Ascomycota; Eurotiomycetes; Chaetothyriales; Herpotrichiellaceae. The record is from RNAcentral.
CGAGUUAGGGUCCUCAUAGGGCCCGGACCUCCCAACCCGGUUGGUUUAUGAUACCUAGGUGUUGCUUCGGCAGGCCCUGGUCCUCCUGACCUGCCGGGGGGCCGUGAAACGCCCGCCGGAGAGCGCCCGCCGACAGCCCCAACCUUCAAAAUUCUUAACCAAACGUGUCUUGUCUGAGUAAACGUCUUUAAAAUAAAAGCAAAACUUUCAACAACGGAUCUCUUGGUUCUGGCAUCGA